GGCUUAGAGUUUGAUCAUGGCUCAGGAUGAACGCUGGCGGCGUGCCUAACACAUGCAAGUCGAACGGACAUUUUUUGGAAACUUCUUCGGAAGUGGAAUCUAAAUGUUAGUGGCGGACGGGUGAGUAACGCGUGAGCAAUCUGCCUCGGAGUGGGGGAUAACAGCCGGAAACGGCUGCUAAUACCGCAUAAUGCAUUUUAAUCGCAUGGUUGAAAUGCCAAAGGCUUGCUGCUCUGAGAUGAGCUCGCGUCUGAUUAGCUAGUUGGUGGGGUAACGGCUCACCAAGGCGACGAUCAGUAGCCGGACUGAGAGGUUGAACGGCCACAUUGGGACUGAGACACGGCCCAGACUCCUACGGGAGGCAGCAGUGGGGAAUAUUGCGCAAUGGGGGAAACCCUGACGCAGCAACGCCGCGUGAUUGAAGAAGGUCUUCGGAUUGUAAAAAUCUUUAAUCAGGGACGAAAAAUGGCGGUACCUGAAGAAUAAGCUCCGGCUAACUACGUGCCAGCAGCCGCGGUAAUACGUAGGGAGCAAGCGUUAUCCGGAUUUACUGGGUGUAAAGGGCGAGUAGGCGGGCUGGUAAGUUGGAAGUGAAAUCUCGGGGCUUAACCCCGAAACUGCUUUCAAAACUGCUGGUCUUGAGUGAUGGAGAGGCAGGCG
Molecule: ribosomal RNA, 660 nt
Filed under: uncultured bacterium
Lineage: Bacteria
Description: bacterial SSU rRNA
Rfam family: Bacterial small subunit ribosomal RNA
Source: RNAcentral